UGGGGAAUUUUGCACAAUGGGGACUAGCCCGAAGCAGGGACAACCCGUGAGCGAUGGAGGCCUUCGGGUUGUGAACCUCUUUCGGUCAUGGUCAAGCCGCGGUUUUGUCCGUGGUGAGGGUAGCGGGUAAAGAAGCGCCGGCUAACUACGUGCCAGCAGCCGCGGUAAUACGUAGGUGGCAAGCGUUGUCCGGAAUUAUUGGGCGUAAAGGGAGUGUAGGCGGGAAGACAAGUCUGUCUUAAAAGUGCGGGGCUCAACCCCGUGAUGGGAUGGAAACUGUCGGUCUAGAGUGCCGGAGAGGAAAGCGGAAUUCCUAGUGUAGCGGUGAAAUGCGUAGAUAUUAGGAGGAACACCAGUGGCGAAGGCGGCUUUCUGGACUGUAACUGACACUGAGGCUCGAAAGCCAGGGGAGCGAACGGGAUUAGAUACCCCGGUAGUCCUGGCCGUAAACGAUGGAUACUAGGUGUAGGAGGUAUCGACCCCUUCUGUGCCGGAGUUAACGCAAUAAGUAUUCCGCCUGGGGAGUACGAUCGCAAGAUUG
This 541-nucleotide ribosomal RNA is filed under the name uncultured bacterium. RNAcentral describes it as "bacterial SSU rRNA". It matches the Rfam family "Bacterial small subunit ribosomal RNA", at positions 355 to 896 of the family's 1533-position model. The record is from RNAcentral.